GGCUGAGCCUCGGGCAGAUCCCCAAGGCUCAGUCUCGCCUCUUUCCCCACCCCGCAGACCGGGCUGGGCCUCCUCUCUGCCCUCUUUUGUGGAGCCGAGGAACCCAGGGCCAGUUCCCUGCCUGCCAGCUGGUUUCCCGGACCCUGGACCAGCUGUGAGCGAGGGGGCGGGAGCAGCCGCUGGCCUCUGGGAAGUGGAAACCAGGAGUCAGGCAGCCGAGGCGGGCGGGUUUAGACUGGGGCAGUGAGGCCAGCAGGCCUGGGCAGCAUUCUGGAGGAAUUUCUGAAUUACCUCCUGGCUGGAGACUGGAGGCCAGAGCGGGGGCCCUGGGCUGGUCUUGCUGGCUGCAGCCUUCCCGCCUCGGGCUGGUGUCUCUGCCCGCCUGCCUAGGCAUCGCAGCAUCCUCUGAUGGACGGAGCUGAGACCACGGUCCUGAGUCAGAGGACUUGUGGGAUUGGAGCGCCCUCUGCUGGCAAGAUCGAGGUACAGCCGGGAGAGUGGUACACCCUCAGGAGCAGCUGCAUUGAAACCCUGCUGUUAGGAUGCUGGCAGGCGGGUCUAGGGGUUAGUACACAGGCAAGCCUUUCCUGCUGGGCGUGGACACAUUCAAGGACACAUACCAUGCCCUGUAAUUCAGAUGCGAGCGUGUCUUUGCGUACACAUCUUCCAUUUCUGCUGCGCCUGGGAUGACAUCACCUGGGGUCUGCCGCAAUGCAGUUAAUGGAGUUAGCGUCAACUCCACAGGUUAAGCACUGGGUCCCCCACACACUACCCCACUGUGCUUCCAGCCACAAGCGGGAUUCCCCAGGACCAGCACGUCUGACCAGCCAGAAACAAAGUAGUGAGUUCCCAUGACCCUUCAGGUUUGGUAAUUCACUACCCUAAACCCUCAGAACUCACUGUUUAAGUGCUGUUCUGUUGAUGGCAGUUUCAUUUAUUUUAUAAAGGUUACAACUCAGGAGCAGCCAGAUGAAGAGGCCUGCAGGGCAAGACCUGGGGGAGAGGGUGUGGAGUUGGGGC
RNAcentral lists this long non-coding RNA (1020 nucleotides) under Bos indicus x Bos taurus (hybrid cattle). Its description in RNAcentral is "lncRNA (ENSBIXG00005004121.1)". The record is from RNAcentral. Lineage: Eukaryota; Metazoa; Chordata; Mammalia; Artiodactyla; Bovidae.